This 322-nucleotide long non-coding RNA is filed under the name Panax ginseng (ginseng). RNAcentral describes it as "long non-coding RNA (PGIN_LNC018743)". Lineage: Eukaryota; Viridiplantae; Streptophyta; Magnoliopsida; Apiales; Araliaceae. The record is from RNAcentral.
AAACAGUGGCCAAAAGCAAUGGAUAAGCUCCAUGCAGUCGGCAGAACCCAUCAGAUCAGGGGGAUAUGUCAGAUGGUAGUGGGUGGCACAGUAAUCCAGGCGAAGAUAUUAUUUCUUGGCAAGUAAGUCUUCACAAGGAGGUACGUUUUUCAUAUAUUCACAGACACACAACUGAUAUUAGGCAUAAUCUCUCAACACACUAGAUUUUUAUUAUCCUCUCGACUUAACCUUGUGAACAGACAUACUUACUCUCACGCCUGAGCUAUCCCCCGGCGGUCCGGCCGUCAAGCUUGUGGUGUUUGUCGUGUUUACUGUGUAGGAU